Long non-coding RNA from Sapajus apella (tufted capuchin), 3163 nucleotides. RefSeq lists it as uncharacterized. The transcript has 2 exons. The record is from RefSeq and is a predicted model, not a curated record. Lineage: Eukaryota; Metazoa; Chordata; Mammalia; Primates; Cebidae.
AAGAGUCAGUCUCUCUAGCGCUACAAUUAGAUUCAACGAGAGAGAAGAGUGCUGUGAUGGGAAGACUUUCAUUCUCAGACAUUAUUUCUAUCUGGGCAUUUUGAAAAGAUAAAGGGCUUGUUGUCAUUAUGCCUCCAUCUGACAACUUGGUCAAUGUAUCCUUCAUGAAGCUCAGCUUGAAUAGGGAAAAACAAGGGAAUUGCGAGGGUACAUUUCUUCUUCUGAUGGCAGGACUCUAAUCGUUCUGCCUUGUUGUCUUUAGGCAAGGAAGGGAGAAGACAGGAAGAGGAAGAAGAGAGAACGUAAAAGGGGCCUUUGGAUAGGCUGAUGCUAUGGAGUUGGAAUCUUAAGCUGGAGGAUGAGCCAAUCAAAGUCAUAAAGGGAAGCCAUAUGUCACACACUUGGAAGUCCAUGUAUAAACAUCAAGUUGAGAGUGGCAGAGGCAAUUUCAAGACCAAGAUCUCGGCACUAAGGUUAGAGUGGCAAAAAUCAAGACUUGAGUGAGUGGAAAACACAUGGGGAAGUGGCGGGGAUGGUUCCUGAAGAGGUGGGGUGGGAGAGGCCUCAGAGUGUCAGUGCUGUGUGAACACUCUCUAGGCGAGCUGUGCUCAGCUGCGGUGUCCUGGCCAUGAGGGCCUCUGACUCCUGGCAGCAAACUGGACGGCAGUUGAGGCUGCUGAGCAUGCCCUCAGAGUAGCAAAGACAUUUAUAGGAUCCUCUGUGCAGGAUACAAUUACUGUCCUUUACACUGCCCCGCAACAGUUGGUUUGUAAGAAAACAUUUCCCAAAAUUUUAAGCCCUGGGUAUGCACAGAUACCUAGAGCUCUGACGUAAAACCGUAUGACUCUUCUACAGGAAGACAAGAAAUUGGCCGAUGAUGCCAUGGUGGUGGUCAUUGGAGGCACCUGUGGUCAAAGGGCAUGUGCAAACCCCUGCUUUGACCUUUAUUCCUCAGCAGAGCAGAAGACACUUCUGCUCACAAAGCUGUGUGUGUCCUGCUUCAACAUCACAGCCACAAUUUAAGGGAACAAAAACGGUCUAAUUAUGUCUGAGUCUUGAGAUGGGACUCUGGGAACUAUGAGUGUUUAUUAAAAUGUUGACUACUAAUUUCUUGAGUAGGGUGGGGCAGGAGUGGUGACUGACUCAAGCAUAGGACAAGUGAGUGACUGGGACCAACAAUUGAUUUUUUGAGACUAGCUCUACUCAAAAAAAAGGAUAGCAAAGCAAGAAGGCAGGUCAAAUCAGAAACACUAUGGAAAUUCCAAGGGUGACAGCAGGGAUAUCACACACAUACGACACAUGAAGAGGGCCUGGGGAAGGACUAGGUUAGGAAACAGAUCAGUGGCAAAGUCAGUAGAGACAAGGAAGGAAGAGAGUCGUAUGAUGGUAUGGGGAGGCAGAGAGAUGUGCUAUCAAUUGCCAGAAUAAUCUGAAAUGCAAUUUAUUAAUUCAGUACCUCAUUCAGUUAUUCAAGAAGUGUUCAUUCAUUCAUUCAAAAAUAUUUAAGUUCCUAAAGUGUUCUCAGUUCUGAGUCCAAAUCUUGGGAUGCAAUACCACCAGGACCCAGACACCAACAUGGUGCGGUAGGUCUAUGACUUGAAAGAGCAUUUUGAGAACAUAGAGGGAAGAGAAGCCGUCCUAUUGGCAGAGAAAGCUGAGUUGAGUUUCAAGGGCAAGUAGCAGUUAAGUGGAGGACGCGUGCCUGAGGCAAUGGCCGGUUGGCAAGCAUGCCGACAGUACAUUGGGGGAGCCAUAUGGCAUCAGACUCGUUGGGGCAUACGGUGUUAGGUGGGGUGAUGGCGAGCAGUGAAGAUUCCAGUAAAAGCAAGGGCUGUAACUUGAGGGGCCUCCUAAGUCAUGGUACAGACUUUGGACUUUAUUCUAAAAGCCAUGGAGAGCUACUAGAAGGGCUUUUAGCAAGAGAAACUCAAUUUGAGCUGUGCUGGGAAGGAUCACUCAGGCUACAGGCUGCAUGAUUUAGGGCUGAGACUGGGAGGAGCCGGCCUGGAAGGUGGCUGUUGAAAAACGGAUAGAUAGGAGAGAGAUUUGGUUGUCAAAAUGAUGGGGCUUGGUUAUUGGCCAGAGACUUGGGGAAGACAGAGGAAGCAAAAACAAGUUGUACGUUUCUGGAUCGGAUAACUGAGGGUGGAUGGUGUAGUUAUUUGUCUGUUUGUGGAACUAAGAGGAGAAUUGGGCUUUGGAGGGAGGACAGCGAAUUCAGUUUUGGAUAUGUCUGGGAUUGGGGGUGGCAGGGGGAAGCCCUGCUUUUGCACUAACCCAGUGCCUGUCUGGGUGAGUGGGUGAGGCUGUUUAUAGCACCAGGCACAGGCUCAUCAUCAGUUAACAGCCAUGGUUUAUUUUUCUCCCGGGUAUAGAAGAGGAUCUGUACUGUGGAUGUAAGGAAUUUGAGCUGGAAUAUGCCAGAGGAGUAUACCUUGGUUAGAAUCGAGAUGUGUGAUAACAAGAUUUAGCUUCUGAAUGCAGAGAAAAACAAACAAAAAUCAAAAUAUCUCAGUGUUAAAAAAAAAUCGUAGAAUUUCACUUGCACCAAUGGUUUUGUUUUACGAACUCCUUGACAUGCGUCUGUAGCAAAGCAAUUGCUUUGUUGCUGCGUCGAGGGGGAGCUUCCUGCAGGGCACACCUAGCAAAUGGUGCUUCUCAAAAGAUAUGCCAUCUCCCUGGGCUCUGAUUUUCUUCUCCUGGGGUCAAUAUUUCACUCUUGUCAGGAUAUUGCCUGAUGCCUGCCUGUCUCAAGCCCCAGAAGAGAGCCAUCUGUUGAGCUGUGGAAUGUUUUCAGCCACAAGUCAUACAUCAUUAUUCUAGCCAGGUCAUGCUGUUGCUUGUAGAAUUUUUUAUAGAUGGAGGUUCAGCUUAUGUUCUGAAUUAGAGGUUCUCAUCUGCCUGUGGCAAAUUGCAGCACAGGCUACUGGAAAUUCCCUCUGGUGAUUGGAAAUAUUUGGGAUAUUAUUUAUUUAGAUAUUCUACUACUCCUUUUAAGCAACUCUUUCUCCAUUCAAUCUUCGAAAGCAGAAGAGAGAGAGAGAGUGUGUAUGUGUGUGUGUGUGUGUGUGUGUGUGUGUGUGUAUUUGUUUGUUUGUUUUGGGUAAUCUCACACCAAAAGCAUUUUCCAUUUUCUUAUUAGGAACUUUCUCUUUGUCCAAAA